This 132-nucleotide non-coding RNA is filed under the name Bacillus tuaregi. RNAcentral's name for it is "FMN riboswitch (RFN element)". It matches the Rfam family "FMN riboswitch aptamer (RFN element)". Rfam says of the family: The RFN element is a highly conserved domain that is found frequently in the 5'-untranslated regions of prokaryotic mRNAs that encode for flavin mononucleotide (FMN) biosynthesis and transport proteins. Lineage: Bacteria; Bacillati; Bacillota; Bacilli; Caryophanales; Bacillaceae. The record is from RNAcentral.
UAUCUUCGGGGCAGGGUGAAAUUCCCGACCGACGGUGAUGAGUGAAAUACUCUAAGCCCGUGAGCUUGAUUUGAUUAAGCAGGAUUUGGUGCGAUUCCAAAGCCGACAGUACAGUCUGGAUGGGAGAAGAUG